Long non-coding RNA from Oreochromis aureus, 520 nucleotides. Lineage: Eukaryota; Metazoa; Chordata; Actinopteri; Cichliformes; Cichlidae. The record is from Ensembl.
AGGAAACAUCUGUGCUGUGUCUGCUCUUUCUGAUCUCACUGCUGAGCUGCACAACAAACCAAGAGAGGUACACCACCAGACCUCCACCUGCAUCCACCUCUCCACCUGCAUCUACGCCUCCUCCUGGUUCCAGCUCCCACACUCUUUCUGCCUUUCUCUCUCCUGUCAUUCUUUCUGUGUUGUCAUUUUUUUGUUCGGUCUGUGUUGGGGUUCUACUGGUGUUACUGGUUCUGCUGCUGAGACGAUGUGUUCACAGGAAACCUGAAGAACGAGAAGAAGCUGGAGAAGAUGACAUUAUAUAUGACAAUGAAAUAACAUACAGCACUGUUAAAAUAUCAAAUGAUCAAAAAGAUCCAAUCAGGUGAUGCAGAGGUAAUUAUUUUUCUUUUCUUUUUUUUAGUGGUGAUUGUGUGUGUGAUGCUGGUGUUGUUGGGAUUCACCAAUCCUGUGUAAACUGUCAAUACACACAUCUUUAACUGACUACAAAUUUCUCAAACAAUGAAUAAAGAAACAAAUAAAU